CGGACGGGUGAGUAACGCGUGAGAAUCUGCCAUCAGGUCUGGGACAACCACUGGAAACGGUGGCUAAUACCGGAUGUGCCCGUAAUUGGGUGAAAGGUUAACUGCCUGUUGAUGAGCUCGCGUCUGAUUAGCUAGUUGGAAGUGUAAUGGACUCCCAAGGCGACGAUCAGUAGCUGGUCUGAGAGGACGAUCAGCCACACUGGGACUGAGACACGGCCCAGACUCCUACGGGAGGCAGCAGUGGGGAAUUUUCCGCAAUGGGCGAAAGCCUGACGGAGCAAUGCCGCGUGAGGGAGGAAGGCUCUUGGGUCGUAAACCUCUUUUCUCAGGGAAGAACACAAUGACGGUACCUGAGGAAUAAGCAUCGGCUAACUCCGUGCCAGCAGCCGCGGUAAUACGGAGGAUGCAAGCGUUAUCCGGAAUGAUUGGGCGUAAAGCGUCCGCAGGUGGCAAUGUAAGUCUGCUGUUAAAGAGUCUAGCUCAACUAGAUAAGAGCAGUGGAAACUACAUAGCUAGAGUACGUUCGGGGCAGAGGGAAUUCCUGGUGUAGCGGUGAAAUGCGUAGAGAUCAGGAAGAACACCAGUGGCGAAGGCGCUCUGCUAGGCCGUAACUGACACUGAGGGACGAAAGCUAGGGGAGCGAAUGGGAUUAGAUACCCCAGUAGUC
Molecule: ribosomal RNA, 667 nt
Filed under: uncultured cyanobacterium
Lineage: Bacteria; Bacillati; Cyanobacteriota
Description: bacterial SSU rRNA
Rfam family: Bacterial small subunit ribosomal RNA
Source: RNAcentral